Molecule: long non-coding RNA, 1088 nt
Filed under: Pogona vitticeps (central bearded dragon)
Lineage: Eukaryota; Metazoa; Chordata; Lepidosauria; Squamata; Agamidae
Description: lncRNA (ENSPVIG00000012172.1)
Source: RNAcentral
GUGUGUUUUACUUCUUCUAGUUAAUUCUCAAGCACUAAACUUAGUACUAUAGCACCAAUCUGGUACAGCACUAAUUCCAAUAUCUAUCAUGUCUUGUCAAUUCAGUGGCCUUUCACUAAAAAAAGAGAAGGGAUAUGAAGGCUGCCUUCGAUACCGUCGACCACAGUAUCCUCCUGGGGAGGCUCUCCGAGUUGGGAAUUGGUGGCUUGGCGCUUGCCUGGCUCUGUUCCUUCUUGGAGGACUGUCCGGGAGAGUGUCUCGGCCCCGUGGAGUCUCAAUUGCGGGGUUCCACAGGGGUUGAUUAUCUCCCCAAUGCUGUUUCACAUCUAUAUGAGACCACUGGGAUGUGUCAUCACGGGGUGUGGAGCGUUGUGUCAUCAGUAUGCGGAUGACACCCAGCUCCACAUCUCCUUUUCACCAACCGCAGGUGAUGCCGUCCUGACCCUCCAGUGCUGCCGGGGGACCGUACUGCAAUGGAUGCAGGAAAAUGGGCUGAGGCCAAACCCAGACAAGACGGAAGUUCUGAGGGUGGGAGCCCCGUGGCUGGCGGCCUGGGUGACUCACUCUCGUUUGGGGGGUGACCCUGACUGUGAAGAGUGGGGUCUGCAGUUUGGGUGUAUAUUUGGACCCGACGCUCACUAUGGAAACGCAGGUGGUGCCGGUAGUCAUUCCGCCUUUUUCCACCUUUGGUGGAUAGCCCGGCUGCGGCCCUACCUUGACACGGGGGCGCUCACCACCUUGGUGCAUGCACUCGUAAUCUCAAGAUUAGACCACUGUAACACGCUCUAUGUGGGGCUGCCUUUGAGGCUGAUGUGGAAACUUCAGGUGGUGCAGAAUGCAGCGGCCAGACUCCUUACUGGAGUGAGAAAACACCAGCAUAUCUCUCCUAUUCUGGCCAUGCUGCAUUGGCUGCCCAUCCAUUUCCACACUGACUUCAAAGUUUUAAUGCUUACUUAUAAGGCCCUAAACAGUUUAGGACCUCAAUACCUGGCGGAACACCUGCUCCCACCAAGAUCUACCCGGAUCACCUGCGCGAGCCAGGAGGUGAGGUUGAGGGUCCUGACAUCGAGGGAGGCCUGAAGAGAAAA